GAACGCUGGCGGCGUGCUUAAUACAUGCAAGUCGAGCGGACCGACGGGAGCUUGCUCCCUUAGGUCAGCGGCGGACGGGUGAGUAACACGUGGGUAACCUGCCUGUAAGACUGGGAUAACUCCGGGAAACCGGGGCUAAUACCGGAUGCUUGAUUGAACCGCAUGGUUCAAUCAUAAAAGGUGGCUUUUAGCUACCACUUACAGAUGGACCCGCGGCGCAUUAGCUAGUUGGUGAGGUAACGGCUCACCAAGGCGACGAUGCGUAGCCGACCUGAGAGGGUGAUCGGCCACACUGGGACUGAGACACGGCCCAGACUCCUACGGGAGGCAGCAGUAGGGAAUCUUCCGCAAUGGACGAAAGUCUGACGGAGCAACGCCGCGUGAGUGAUGAAGGUUUUCGGAUCGUAAAACUCUGUUGUUAGGGAAGAACAAGUACCGUUCGAAUAGGGCGGUACCUUGACGGUACCUAACCAGAAAGCCACGGCUAACUACGUGCCAGCAGCCGCGGUAAUACGUAGGUGGCAAGCGUUGUCCGGAAUUAUUGGGCGUAAAGCGCGCGCAGGCGGUUUCUUAAGUCUGAUGUGAAAGCCCCCGGCUCAACCGGGGAGGGUCAUUGGAAACUGGGGAACUUGAGUGCAGAAGAGGAGAGUGGAAUUCCACGUGUAGCGGUGAAAUGCGUAGAGAUGUGGAGGAACACCAGUGGCGAAGGCGACUCUCUGGUCUGUAACUGACGCUGAGGCGCGAAAGCGUGGGGAGCGAACAGGAUUAGAUACCCUGGUAGUCCACGCCGUAAACGAUGAGUGCUAAGUGUUAGAGGGUUUCCGCCCUUUAGUGCUGCAGCAAACGCAUUAAGCACUCCGCCUGGGGAGUACGGUCGCAAGACUGAAACUCAAAGGAAUUGACGGGGGCCCGCACAAGCGGUGGAGCAUGUGGUUUAAUUCGAAGCAACGCGAAGAACCUUACCAGGUCUUGACAUCCUCUGACAACCCUAGAGAUAGGGCUUCCCCUUCGGGGGCAGAGUGACAGGUGGUGCAUGGUUGUCGUCAGCUCGUGUCGUGAGAUGUUGGGUUAAGUCCCGCAACGAGCGCAACCCUUGAUCUUAGUUGCCAGCAUUCAGUUGGGCACUCUAAGGUGACUGCCGGUGACAAACCGGAGGAAGGUGGGGAUGACGUCAAAUCAUCAUGCCCCUUAUGACCUGGGCUACACACGUGCUACAAUGGGCAGAACAAAGGGCAGCGAAGCCGCGAGGCUAAGCCAAUCCCACAAAUCUGUUCUCAGUUCGGAUCGCAGUCUGCAACUCGACUGCGUGAAGCUGGAAUCGCUAGUAAUCGCGGAUCAGCAUG
RNAcentral lists this ribosomal RNA (1343 nucleotides) under Bacillus licheniformis. RNAcentral's name for it is "bacterial SSU rRNA". It matches the Rfam family "Bacterial small subunit ribosomal RNA", at positions 31 to 1356 of the family's 1533-position model. The record is from RNAcentral. Lineage: Bacteria; Bacillati; Bacillota; Bacilli; Caryophanales; Bacillaceae.